GGGGUUGUGGCUCAAGUGGUAGCGCGCUCGCCUGGCAAGCGCGGGCCUGCGUUUGAUCCUCAGCACCACA
This 70-nucleotide transfer RNA is filed under the name Marmota monax (woodchuck). Its description in RNAcentral is "tRNA.Ala". The record is from RNAcentral. Lineage: Eukaryota; Metazoa; Chordata; Mammalia; Rodentia; Sciuridae.